This 1372-nucleotide ribosomal RNA is filed under the name uncultured bacterium. Its description in RNAcentral is "bacterial SSU rRNA". It matches the Rfam family "Bacterial small subunit ribosomal RNA", at positions 28 to 1381 of the family's 1533-position model. The record is from RNAcentral.
GAUGAACGCUGGCGGCGUGCCUAAUACAUGCAAGUCGAGCGAACGGACGAGAAGCUUGCUUCUCUGAUGUUAGCGGCGGACGGGUGAGUAACACGUGGAUAACCUACCUAUAAGACUGGGAUAACUUCGGGAAACCGGAGCUAAUACCGGAUAAUAUUUUGAACCGCAUGGUUCAAAAGUGAAAGACGGUCUUGCUGUCACUUAUAGAUGGAUCCGCGCUGCAUUAGCUAGUUGGUAAGGUAACGGCUUACCAAGGCAACGAUGCAUAGCCGACCUGAGAGGGUGAUCGGCCACACUGGAACUGAGACACGGUCCAGACUCCUACGGGAGGCAGCAGUAGGGAAUCUUCCGCAAUGGGCGAAAGCCUGACGGAGCAACGCCGCGUGAGUGAUGAAGGUCUUCGGAUCGUAAAACUCUGUUAUUAGGGAAGAACAUAUGUGUAAGUAACUGUGCACAUCUUGACGGUACCUAAUCAGAAAGCCACGGCUAACUACGUGCCAGCAGCCGCGGUAAUACGUAGGUGGCAAGCGUUAUCCGGAAUUAUUGGGCGUAAAGCGCGCGUAGGCGGUUUUUUAAGUCUGAUGUGAAAGCCCACGGCUCAACCGUGGAGGGUCAUUGGAAACUGGAAAACUUGAGUGCAGAAGAGGAAAGUGGAAUUCCAUGUGUAGCGGUGAAAUGCGCAGAGAUAUGGAGGAACACCAGUGGCGAAGGCGACUUUCUGGUCUGUAACUGACGCUGAUGUGCGAAAGCGUGGGGAUCAAACAGGAUUAGAUACCCUGAUAGUCCACGCCGUAAACGAUGAGUGCUAAGUGUUAGGGGGUUUCCGCCCCUUAGUGCUGCAGCUAACGCAUUAAGCACUCCGCCUGGGGAGUACGACCGCAAGGUUGAAACUCAAAGGAAUUGACGGGGACCCGCACAAGCGGUGGAGCAUGUGGUUUAAUUCGAAGCAACGCGAAGAACCUUACCAAAUCUUGACAUCCUUUGACAACUCUAGAGAUAGAGCUUUCCCCUUCGGGGGACAAAGUGACAGGUGGUGCAUGGUUGUCGUCAGCUCGUGUCGUGAGAUGUUGGGUUAAGUCCCGCAACGAGCGCAACCCUUAAGCUUAGUUGCCAUCAUUAAGUUGGGCACUCUAAGUUGACUGCCGGUGACAAACCGGAGGAAGGUGGGGAUGACGUCAAAUCAUCAUGCCCCUUAUGAUUUGGGCUACACACGUGCUACAAUGGACAAUACAAAGGGCAGCGAAACCGCGAGGUCAAGCAAAUCCCAUAAAGUUGUUCUCAGUUCGGAUUGUAGUCUGCAACUCGACUACAUGAAGCUGGAAUCGCUAGUAAUCGUAGAUCAGCAUGCUACGGUGAAUACGUUCCCGGGUCU